Tupaia belangeri chinensis (Chinese tree shrew) is the source of this 595-nucleotide long non-coding RNA. RefSeq lists it as uncharacterized. The transcript has 4 exons. The record is from RefSeq and is a predicted model, not a curated record. Lineage: Eukaryota; Metazoa; Chordata; Mammalia; Scandentia; Tupaiidae.
GUCAUAGUAAUUGGUCAGCCGUGUCCACUUCUGUUCUGAGAGCCAAGGCUUGAUCAAUCAGGGGAGAAACCCAGACCCAGGGUGGAAGGAGCCGGCAAUUUCACAUUAGGCUGAGCUGAAUAGCACACGAAGAGAUGGGCAAUCUGGAAGGGACUGAAAAUGGAGUUAAGGAGUCCUAGCGUGACAAAAAGGCUGAAUUCCGUGUGAAUCCUUCUGAGACACAGCUUCUAAUAAAGGCCAGCAAAUGGAAUGUUCACAGAUGCCUUAAGCUCCAAUUCAGAUACGAGGAGACAAAGCCACUGAGAGGCUGAUUUUGCUCGAGGUUGCACAGCAGAAAAGAACAAAAGGGAAAUGAAGAGAAAACACCCCAGGAAUAUGACGUGUCCAGCUUCCAAGCCCAGCAUCUCUCCCUCAGCCACUCAGCAACAGUGAUCACUUGGCUCCCUGCCAUCCUCCAAGGUCUUCCAGUUUCCAGCAAAGACCACCAGCCAGCCCUGGCUCUGCCUUGAUCACCUCCUGUUUCUGCCCAAAGUGGAGGAAGCCCUGUUAGCCAAGGGAUCUUCACUUGCCAGGCUCCAAGGUAGCAAUAAACACA